RNAcentral lists this long non-coding RNA (692 nucleotides) under Coturnix japonica (Japanese quail). RNAcentral's name for it is "lncRNA (ENSCJPG00005012324.1)". The record is from RNAcentral. Lineage: Eukaryota; Metazoa; Chordata; Aves; Galliformes; Phasianidae.
UCUGUGUUCUCACUGGACAAGUGCUGACUCUCUUUCUCCUUUUAUGCGUGGUUGUUACCCAGGAAAGACCAUCCUACUAGGAGAUCUGUGCAUUCAGAAGCCCAUGCAAGCAGAUGGAAACAGCAGCUGCCAAGCACACUACACCUCCCAGCCUGCAAUAACAAUCACACAUCACCUCACCUCUGGCCCACACUUGGCCUUCUGCUGCUGCAGCAUGACAAACCACUGCACACCAUCACCUCUUGUGUCCCCAGCUCAGCAGAAAGAUAAGAGGCAAACAACGGAACAUCUUCCAGACAGGGACCAGGAUCCUGACAGCCUCAUCAGGCAGACUCCCAUUGAAGCCAGCUAGAGCUUUGCCUGAGCUAGAAUUUGGCUCUUGGUGAAUUAUCCAACACAAUCCAUUGACUCUUUAACCCAUAAAUUGUCAAACUCAAUUAUUUCCAGCAAAGCAGAUGACUGAACACAAAUAACCUGGAAGAUAAGGUACUCUGGCUCCAGUUUUAAGUAAAAUUAAAGUUUGCUAAACACAAGCGUUACAGUUACAUAAAUAACAAAAGAAGAAAUCACCACUGAAGCCAAAGACUGUUUUUCUGCAAAAACAGAGAGGAUCAAUUUCUCCAGUUUUGUAUUACCAAACUUGGCAGUAAUUCACAUUUGAAGUAUAAUGAUGUCAUCUGGUUGGCCUUUUC